Molecule: ribosomal RNA, 324 nt
Filed under: uncultured eukaryote
Lineage: Eukaryota
Description: partial 18S ribosomal RNA
Rfam family: Eukaryotic small subunit ribosomal RNA
Source: RNAcentral
CCCUUAGAUGUUCUGGGCCGCACGCGCGCUACACUGAUGCAUUCGACGAGUUUCUUCCUGGUCCGAGAGGAAUGGGUAACCUUUUGAAAGUGCAUCGUGAUAGGGAUAGACUAUUGCAAUUAUUGGUCUUCAACGAGGAAUUCCUAGUAGACGUAGUUCAUCAGACUGCAUCGAUUACGUCCCUGCCCUUUGUACACACCGCCCGUCGCUCCUACCGAUUGAAUGCUCAGGUGAGCCAUUCGGACUUUCAUCAUGCUGGUUUCCAGUUUUGAUGAAGGAAAGUCUUGCGAACCUUAUCAUUUAGAGGAAGGAGAAGUCGUAACA